CCUACGGGUGGCAGCAGUGAGGAAUAUUGGUCAAUGGGCGUAAGCCUGAACCAGCCAAGUCGCGUGAGGGAUGAAGGUUCUAUGGAUCGUAAACCUCUUUUAUAAGGGAAUAAAGUGUGGGACGUGUCCUAUUUUGUAUGUACCUUAUGAAUAAGGAUCGGCUAACUCCGUGCCAGCAGCCGCGGUAAUACGGAGGAUCCGAGCUUUAUCCGGAUUUAUUGGGUUUAAAGGGUGCGUAGGCGGGCUUUUAAGUCAGCGGUGAAAGUCUGUGGCUCAACCCCAGAAUUGCCGUUGAAACUGGGGGUCUAGAUUAUGUGUGAGGCAUGCGGAAUGCGUGGGGUAGCGGUGAAAUGCAUAGAGAUCACGCAGAACCCCGAUUGCGAAGGCAGCCUACCAAGCCAUGACUGACGCUGAUGCACGAAAGCGUGGGGAUCAAACAGGAUUAGAUACCCUAGUAGUC
Molecule: ribosomal RNA, 460 nt
Filed under: uncultured bacterium
Lineage: Bacteria
Description: partial 16S ribosomal RNA
Rfam family: Bacterial small subunit ribosomal RNA
Source: RNAcentral